Molecule: ribosomal RNA, 425 nt
Filed under: uncultured bacterium
Lineage: Bacteria
Description: partial 16S ribosomal RNA
Rfam family: Bacterial small subunit ribosomal RNA
Source: RNAcentral
GUGGGGAAUCUUGCGCAAUGGGCGAAAGCCUGACGCAGCCAUGCCGCGUGAAUGAUGAAGGUCUUAGGAUUGUAAAAUUCUUUCACCGGGGACGAUAAUGACGGUACCCGGAGAAGAAGCCCCGGCUAACUUCGUGCCAGCAGCCGCGGUAAUACGAAGGGGGCUAGCGUUGCUCGGAAUUACUGGGCGUAAAGGGUGCGUAGGCGGACAGUUUAGUCAGAGGUGAAAGCCCAGGGCUCAACCUUGGAAUUGCCUUUGAUACUGGCUAUCUUGAGUAUGGAAGAGGUAUGUGGAACUCCGAGUGUAGAGGUGAAAUUCGUAGAUAUUCGGAAGAACACCAGUGGCGAAGGCGACAUACUGGUCCAUUACUGACGCUGAGGCUCGAAAGCGUGGGGAGCAAACAGGAUUAGAUACCCUGGUAGUCC